CCUUCGUAAAAUGCUUUAAGGUAUACCCUCUCCUUGGCCUCAGCAAGUUUUUCUCUGUCAUUCUGGCUCUGGAUUUUGAGCUCAUCACAGAUGAAUGGAGCACAAAGGUUGCCAUAACCUGGGAUUUCAAUGAUGGGCACCGGUUCAAAUGGCAAGACCAUUUCAUCUCUGAUACCAUACUUCCCUCUGAGAGCCUUUUUUUUUUCAGAUCUCUCAGGGCUGCAAUGUCAUCUGGAGAAUCAGAAGGGACACUUGUUACCACUCCCGUUCCUUUAUCUUCCUUGAUUGUGAGCAUGGGAAGAGCAUACACAACUUUGUAGCUGGUGAGAGGUGCAGAAAGUGCAGCACCAAGAAUCU
This 357-nucleotide long non-coding RNA is filed under the name Gallus gallus (chicken). The record is from RNAcentral. Lineage: Eukaryota; Metazoa; Chordata; Aves; Galliformes; Phasianidae.